GGGGAUAUGGCGAAAUGGUAGACGCAGCGGACUCAAAAUCCGUUGGCCUCGGCCGUGAGGGUUCGAUUCCCUCUAUCCCCA
RNAcentral lists this transfer RNA (81 nucleotides) under Adiantum flabellulatum. RNAcentral's name for it is "tRNA-Leu". It matches the Rfam family "tRNA". Rfam says of the family: Transfer RNA (tRNA) molecules are approximately 80 nucleotides in length. The record is from RNAcentral. Lineage: Eukaryota; Viridiplantae; Streptophyta; Polypodiopsida; Polypodiales; Pteridaceae.